AAGAAAAAAAACUGUAGCAGCCGAGGAACCUGCAAGGAGGAUGGAAGUAAAGAAAUAUAUAACAAGAGAAGAAUCGUCUAGAUACGACAGAUGGUCACACACGUGUUCAAUCUUGGGUACUGUUCCCUUUCUUAGAUAUAUUUCGUUGGAGAAUAUGUCUAGAUUAAACUACUAUAGAAAAGCAUAACACACUGACUUGGCAAUUAAAUGUAAGAAGAAGAAAAAAUUCAUUUAAAAGGAGUGAAGAAAAUUGAAUUUCGUGGGGGUGAUGAUGAAAAAGAUUCCGAGACAUCGCGUUUAAGAUUCUCAAGCAACAUGUGGCUGGCACGUGUUUCUCUUCUACAUCAGCUACGAUUUAUAUAUAGGAUCAUCGUUCUUCUUUGAGUUUGAACGUUGCAGCUGCUUUAUAUUAUUUUCGGGGGUUCGUCCAUUUUCCUUUUGCCUUAGGGUCUCUCAAAAGGAUCUUGUCCAGGCCGCAAAUACCUUUCUUUAGUAUCUUACACACAUUUUCGAAGCCAUUUCAAUACCUGACUUGAGAUCCAUUUUCAAUGAUUCUGUGUGCUAAAGAGACAGUCAUGGUGCUUUGUUCUUUAUGUUGGAGAAAACUUCCUCAAGAAGAUUGACCAAUUAUUUUUUUGGUACUUGGAUUUAUAAUAUUUGAGUAUAAGGUGGAUUAAUAAAUGAAUACCACCCAGAAAAUACAUGAAUUAUUAGGAUUUAAAAAAAAAAAGCUAAUAAUUAAAAUGCGAUUAAAUGUUUCGUAUUUUUUAGAGCAAAGUUUAUUUAAGUUGAUAUCACAGUGCUAGACUGUUCUGCAUUGCAAUGAAUAAUACCAACAUAAGUUUGGAAAUAUCACGUUGGGGUGUGACGUAUACCUGAGGAUUGGCUUAAUGCUAGUCCAGCCCUUAUUUCAAAGCGGAUAUGUUGAUGAAUCACUUUUCUGACAAUUUUUUUUUUUAAGUAGUUGGAGAAUGUUUGAGUAAACAUUGAAACUCUUCGACAACUUUGGUAAAAUGUUUACUAUUACACUUAAAAACAGUGUGAUUUUUAAGAAGAAUAGUUUAUUUAAUCGAUUUUUUUCUUUCUAAUAAUCGUAAUUAAUUUUUAAACAAAUACUUUAUG
Molecule: long non-coding RNA, 1122 nt
Organism: Chelonus insularis
Lineage: Eukaryota; Metazoa; Arthropoda; Insecta; Hymenoptera; Braconidae
Exons: 3
Source: RefSeq, a predicted model, not a curated record